UCCCUCAGUCCCGAUUAAACCAUUUAACUUCACCAGUUUCUAACCCAUCAUGUGUUUGUGUGUCUUCUUCCCAGUCCCUGGCUUUCUGUGUUCUGCCCCAAAUGUCAGCAUGGUUGGCAUCUGGCAGGACUUGUUCCAGAAAAAACACAGAAGAGAAUGUUCCGGAAGGCACUGAGAAAUCCUGCUCCCAGCAGGAAGAAAACAAACCAAAUUUUGGAGCCAGCAAAAAUAGACUUCUUAUGAGCCAGGUGGCCUACUUCCUGAACUACCGGCUGAAGACAUACAAAGAUCAAAAAGAUCAUGAGGAGGAACAGAAAUACAGAGACAGCAAAAAUAAACUUCUUAUGAGUCAAGUGGCCUGCUACCUGGCCUGCCGGCUGAAGACGGAAAUCCCUGGCUUUCUGUGUUCUGCCCCAAAUGUCAGCAUGGUUGGCAUCUGGCAGGACUUGUUCCAGAAAAAACACAGAAGAGAAUGUUCCGGAAGGCACUGAGAAAUCCUGCUCCCAGCAGGAAGAAAACAAACCAAAUUUUGGAGCCAGCAAAAAUAGACUUCUUAUGAGCCAGGUGGCCUACUUCCUGAACUACCGGCUGAAGACAUACAGUAAGUUAUAGGUUGACCACCAGGA
Molecule: long non-coding RNA, 626 nt
Filed under: Aotus nancymaae (Ma's night monkey)
Lineage: Eukaryota; Metazoa; Chordata; Mammalia; Primates; Aotidae
Description: lncRNA (ENSANAG00000039406.1)
Source: RNAcentral